AGUGAACGCUGGCGGUAGGCCUAACACAUGCAAGUCGAACGGCAGCACAGUAAGAGCUUGCUCUUACGGGUGGCGAGUGGCGGACGGGUGAGGAAUACAUCGGAAUCUACUUUUUCGGGGGGGAUAACGUAGGGAAACUUACGCUAAUACCGCAUACGACCUACGGGUGAAAGCAGGGGAUCUUCGGACCUUGCGCGAUUGAAUGAGCCGAUGUCGGAUUAGCUAGUUGGGGGGGUAAAGGCCCACCAAGGCAACGAUCCGUAGCUGGUCUGAGAGGAUGAUCAGCCACACUGGAACUGAGACACGGUCCAGACUCCUACGGGAGGCAGCAGUGGGGAAUAUUGGACAAUGGGCGCAAGCCUGAUCCAGCCAUACCGCGUGGGUGAAGAAGGCCUUCGGGUUGUAAAGCCCUUUUGUUGGGAAAGAAAAGCAGCAGGUUAAUACCCCGCUGUUCUGACGGUACCCAAAGAAUAAGCACCGGCUAACUUCGUG
RNAcentral lists this ribosomal RNA (492 nucleotides) under uncultured bacterium. RNAcentral's name for it is "partial 16S ribosomal RNA". It matches the Rfam family "Bacterial small subunit ribosomal RNA", at positions 29 to 507 of the family's 1533-position model. The record is from RNAcentral.